UAUUAGGUUGGUGCAAAAGUAAUUGCGGUUUUUGCCAUUAAACACACAUAAUUAAACAUAAUGGCAAAAACCGCGAUUACUUUUGCAUCAACCUAAUA
MicroRNA precursor from Pan troglodytes (chimpanzee), 98 nucleotides. It matches the Rfam family "mir-548 microRNA precursor family". NCBI's taxonomy places the organism in Eukaryota, Metazoa, Chordata, Mammalia, Primates, Hominidae. The record is from Rfam.